AUGCCCUAUACAAUUACUUCUGACAGAGACAAAAUAUUUACAAGUCACUUCUGGAAAGAGCUGUUCAGGUUGUGGGGCACCAAACUACAAAUGUCCACUGCCUACCACCCCCAAACUGAUGGGCAAACCGAGAGGGUUAACCAGUGUUUAGAGAUGUAUUUGAGAUGUGCUGUUUCUGAACACCCAAAGCAAUGGUCUCAGUGGCUCCCCCUUGCCGAAUUCUGGUACAAUUCAUCUUACCACUCGUCUCUGGGCUGCACUCCUUUCAAGGCUGUUUAUGGCCAUGAACCAAAUUUGGGGUAG
This 303-nucleotide ribosomal RNA is filed under the name Triticum aestivum (bread wheat). RNAcentral's name for it is "partial small subunit ribosomal RNA". Lineage: Eukaryota; Viridiplantae; Streptophyta; Magnoliopsida; Poales; Poaceae. The record is from RNAcentral.